GCGCCCGUAGCUCAGCCGGAUAGAGCAACGGCCUUCUAAGCCGUGGGUCGCAGGUUCGACUCCUGCCGGGCGCGCCA
This 77-nucleotide transfer RNA is filed under the name Fontimonas thermophila. RNAcentral's name for it is "tRNA_Arg_TCT". It matches the Rfam family "tRNA". Rfam says of the family: Transfer RNA (tRNA) molecules are approximately 80 nucleotides in length. Lineage: Bacteria; Pseudomonadati; Pseudomonadota; Gammaproteobacteria; Nevskiales; Nevskiaceae. RNAcentral also lists the same sequence under 2 other names. The record is from RNAcentral.